GCGGAGGGGUUCCACACGUACCCAUCCCGAACACGACCGUUAAGCCCUCCAGCGCCGAUGGUACUUGGACCGCAGGGUCCUGGGAGAGUAGGACGUUGCCAAGC
This 104-nucleotide ribosomal RNA is filed under the name Paenibacillus jamilae. RNAcentral also lists the same sequence under 2 other names. The record is from RNAcentral. Lineage: Bacteria; Bacillati; Bacillota; Bacilli; Caryophanales; Paenibacillaceae.